UAGGAUCUUUAUGUAUCAGUUGUAUGCCA
RNAcentral lists this non-coding RNA (29 nucleotides) under Rattus norvegicus (Norway rat). Lineage: Eukaryota; Metazoa; Chordata; Mammalia; Rodentia; Muridae. The record is from RNAcentral.